UACGGGGGGGGCAAGCGUUGUUCGGAAUUACUGGGCGUAAAGGGCUCGUAGGCGGCCAACUAAGUCAGACGUGAAAUCCCUCGGCUUAACCGGGGAACUGCGUCUGAUACUGGAUGGCUUGAAUCCGGGAGAGGGAUGCGGAAUUCCAGGUGUAGCGGUGAAAUGCGUAGAUACCUGGAGGAAUACCGGUGGCGAAGGCGGCAUCCUGGACCGGCAUUGACGCUGAGGAGCGAAAGCCAGGGGAGCAAACGGG
This 253-nucleotide ribosomal RNA is filed under the name uncultured bacterium. RNAcentral's name for it is "partial 16S ribosomal RNA". It matches the Rfam family "Bacterial small subunit ribosomal RNA", at positions 524 to 776 of the family's 1533-position model. The record is from RNAcentral.